Molecule: ribosomal RNA, 390 nt
Filed under: uncultured marine stramenopile
Lineage: Eukaryota
Description: partial small subunit ribosomal RNA
Rfam family: Eukaryotic small subunit ribosomal RNA
Source: RNAcentral
GCUUGUCUCAAAGAUUAAGCCAUGCAUGUCUAAGUGUAAAUAAGUCUAUACUGUGAAACUGCGAAUGGCUCAUUAAAUCAGUUAUCGUUUAUUUGAUGAUCUCUUACUACUUGGAUAACCGUAGUAAUUCUAGAGCUAAUACAUGCGCCAAGUCCCGUCUUACGUCGGGAUGUAUUUAUUAGAUUUCAAUCAACACUUUUUGCUGACUCAUGAUAACUUAGCGGAUCGCAGAGGCCUCGCGCCGGCGACAAAUCAUUCAAGUUUCUGCCCUAUCAGCUUUCGAUGGUAGUGUAUUGGACUACCAUGGCAUUCACGGGUAACGGAGGAUUAGGGUUCGAUUCCGGAGAGGGAGCCUGAGAAAUGGCUACCACAUCCAAGGAAGGCAGCAGG